This 253-nucleotide ribosomal RNA is filed under the name uncultured bacterium. RNAcentral describes it as "partial 16S ribosomal RNA". It matches the Rfam family "Bacterial small subunit ribosomal RNA", at positions 524 to 776 of the family's 1533-position model. The record is from RNAcentral.
UACGGAGGGUGCGAGCGUUAAUCGGAAUUACUGGGCGUAAAGCGCACGCAGGCGGUUUGUUAAGCUAGAUGUGAAAGCCCCGGGCUCAACCUGGGAUGGUCAUUUAGAACUGGCAGACUAGAGUCUUGGAGAGGGGAGUGGAAUUACAGGUGUAGCGGUGAAAUGCGUAGAUAUCUGGAGGAACAUCAGUGGCGAAGGCGACUCCCUGGCCAAAGACUGACGCUCAUGUGCGAAAGUGUGGGUAGCGAACAGG